RNAcentral lists this long non-coding RNA (1611 nucleotides) under Mus musculus (house mouse). RNAcentral describes it as "Pvt1 oncogene". The stretch from base 44 to 200 matches the Rfam family "Pvt1 oncogene conserved region 1". Lineage: Eukaryota; Metazoa; Chordata; Mammalia; Rodentia; Muridae. The record is from RNAcentral.
ACCCGCCAGCCCCGCGCUCUACCAGGCAGAGCGCGUGUGGCCGCCGAGCACAUGGACCCACUGGUCAAGCGGGCUCGGCAAGGCCAGGAUGAAGAGAAGCUACGAACUUAGCAUUCCCAGAGCCCCCCGAGUGGAUAUCCGCGUGGAAAGGAUGUUGGCAGCCCCGGUGACCUCGGAGUCACGGCUGGAUCCACCCUCUUGUCUGAUUUUCUUAACUCUACUACGGUAAGAAGAUGCCCUCCAUCAGCAGGCCGUGUCUGCUGGGACCUCUCUGGAGACUUCCUGAACCCUGUGGAUUUACAGUAAGAUGCAGUUUCCUGGGGAGUAAUUCUGGUGGAUACAAAUUCCGGAGUAUUACACCUGGCUUGCCUGGAGAUGUUACAAGUAGCUGGAUGGAUUCUUCAGCCUGGAUGCCCACUGAAAACAAGGACCGAAACUAAGAGGAUUGUAUCUCUACCCUUGACUCAAUGAGAAUGUUUGUUGUCAUCUCUCGGGCUACCUGGAGCUCCCUCUAAAAUAGAGCCGAGUUCUGUCACCACAGACAUUGGCAGUGGCACUUGCAUGCCCCUGGCAAGCAGUCUAUCCUGAGGUGGAGGAAGUUGCCCUUGAGUUCUGGCUGGUAACCAGCACAGGGGCUGGGACACUGCCUGAUUGAGGUGGCCAUUGAGAAUUCAAGUGUACCUCUUGGUCCCUGAUGCAGAAAUGAAGUCCCCAGCAUGCUCAAGAAGAGCUUCCUUGGAGGAUGAGAGGCAUGGGAAUCUAAGUAUACCCUUUAAGCGUUCCAGAAGGAUUUUGAGAUCCUUUCCUAAAUCAAAGGUGGAAUAUUUGGGGAUUUGGAAAAUUGAGAUGUGAAGCGUUGACUUAAGAGAUGCCAAGUAACUCAGCAGAUGUCACACAGACGAUAAAUAGCAAAGAUGGAAGUCUUCAUGCCGGAGGCAAUCCUAUAAGACAGCUGAGUUCUGCAGAGCUGGUAGGAGACAGACUUGCUCAGGUGAUAGAUCCAGCCAUGAUACUGACCCUAAGAGAAUGAGACGCUCUGCAGAAGACAGAAGAUUCCUGAAACUGGGAAAGGUGCCUAGAAAUCCUGAUAAGAGUGAAGAAGGAGCUGGCAGAGCAGCCUUCCUCCGCACUAUGAAAGACAUCCAACAGAGAGCAAGUUCCCACCUCACUUCCAGCUUGACUCCUUUUUAUCUCCUAACUGUGGUCUGUGAUGUCUUCAGCAAUGGUAUUAACUAGUUCUGGGUACCUGGAGGCACAGCAGCCAUGUUGAACCUAUGAGGUGAUGAAAAACCAUGCAACUAGAAACCAGAAUGGAAGAAAAGAAGAAGCUGGAUCCUUGACUGAAUUGUCGAUGGGGGAUAGUCCAUCAUCCCAGGGCUAAGACCACCUCCAGAUUUCUUGUUUGGUGAAACAAGUCCUGAUUGUUUACAUUCCCUCGUGUUGAGCUGUCUCUUGCUUGUAGCUGAAAGCAUUUCUAAUAGAUAUUCAGAUUAUCAGCCUUAGCUCCAAGCUAGAAUACUCUAUGGGACCUUAGCUUCUCCAUGAAUUCCUUUGCUCAUCUGUGUAAUGCUCAAUAAAUGUAAAUUGAACCCUGAAUGAGGGACAAUGACA